CUGUGGUGAUUUUUGUGAAUUACAAACGAGUCUAAUGAUCCUAAACUGGUGUCGCCCUCCUGUGGUGAUUUUUGUGAAUUACAAUCGAGUCUAAUGAAUUUAAACUGGUUUCGCCCUCGUGUGGUGAUUUUUGUGAAUUACAAUCGAGUCUAAUGAUCUUAAACUGGUUUCGCCCUCGUGUGGUGAUUUUUGUGAAUUACAAUCAAGUCUAAUGAUCUUAAACUGGUUUCGCCCUCCUGUGGUGAUUUUUGUGAAUUACAAUCGAGUCUAAUGAUCUUAAACUGGUUUCGCCCUCGUGUGGUCAUUCAGCUCCACAGACUCAGUGGUUCAGUUGAUAAAGCUUUGUGUUUUACUCCGGGAGAUCUGAGUUCAAAUCCCACUACUGCUUACUUUAAAUUGAUCUCAGACAACAAAGUCACUCAAACGCCAAAAAACAACAAGGAAUCCAUGAUGGAGUCAUGUUGUCAAGCAUCCGAAGCUGUCAAACUAAACUGAAGCCCGAUGAUGCCGCUUGGUGGAGCGGAUGAAAAACUGCACUUCUGUUCUUACCUUAAAAGCCAUAU
This is a long non-coding RNA of Cyprinus carpio carpio, 563 nucleotides long. The record is from Ensembl. Lineage: Eukaryota; Metazoa; Chordata; Actinopteri; Cypriniformes; Cyprinidae.